This 806-nucleotide small RNA is filed under the name Schizosaccharomyces pombe (fission yeast). RNAcentral's name for it is "small heterochromatic RNA precursor". The record is from RNAcentral. Lineage: Eukaryota; Fungi; Ascomycota; Schizosaccharomycetes; Schizosaccharomycetales; Schizosaccharomycetaceae.
AUUAAAUAGAAAUGUAUAUGCAAAACAGCGAGAAAUUUGUAGAUACGUUGAAUGUUGUUGCUUUCACAUUUGCAACUCUUAGUAGUUGUUCAAAACAACAAUGUCGAGCAAAGAUGUUUGCGAUGUUUGAAUGAUUCUUGGAUUGUAUUUGGAUUCCAUCGGUACUAUGGCCUGUUGAUUCGGCACCUUUGUCAUUUUAGCAACUUUUGUUUUCUUUUCUGUGUCGAUGUAGUUCUCUAUACCAUAUUCAUGUUCAUAUCAAUGUCCAUAUCAAGGUCCAUAUCAAUGUCCAUAUCAAUUUCCCAUGUUCCAUUACAUAUCCCGUGUUCUUUCCUUCUUCCAGCUUUUACAUGCUAGCCUUUUAUACAAUGAUUCCUCUCAUCUCGACUCGCUUGAUGAAUGGGCGUUUAGUUUUUGCAACAACAUAUGCGUUGGGUUAUCUCAUAUCGGGAAACACUUUCUGCCACUUUUAACUUGAACAAAGUUGGAGAAAUAAAGUGAUGGCAGAUAUUGCAAGUUGUUUAUAGUGUGCCUGUAGAAAUGUAAAAACGCUAUGUUUCGUGAAUGCCCAGCCUGUAAAUCGAAAUAAGAUUUCGUAUUUAUUAAGCAUUGGAAGAUCACAAUUGGAAAAAACACGAUACGGNUGGUCUCUUCACAGUCGUUCUCCAGUAAUCACAAACAUGAAACCUAAAUAUACGGUAACUUUNGCACCUAUUAGGACNACGCCUCAAGUGACUGCAUUAAAACAUAAUACCGAAGCACUGACAUAACAGAGAGGNUCAGAAAGGGAUUUUAAAGAUUGACUU